GUUCUUAUAGUGUAAAUUGAAACAUAUUACAUUUUCGUUGUAAAGUAGAGAAAAUUCUCUAAGAAUA
This 67-nucleotide transfer RNA is filed under the name Strahlaxius plectrorhynchus. RNAcentral's name for it is "tRNA-Glu". The record is from RNAcentral. Lineage: Eukaryota; Metazoa; Arthropoda; Malacostraca; Decapoda; Strahlaxiidae.